UGGAAUAUCUGUCAAAUGGAAUAGGUCAAAUGCAAUAUCUGUCAAAUGGAAUAUCUGUCAAAUGGAAUAGGUCAAAUGUAAUAUCGGUCAAAUGGAAUAGGUCAAAUGUAAUAUCUGUCAAAUGGAAUAUCUGUCAAAUGGAAUAGGUCAAAUGUAAUAUCGGUCAAAUGGAAUAGGUCAAAUGUAAUAUCUGUCAAAUUGAAUAGGUCAAAUGUAAUAUCUAUCAAAUGGAAUAGGUCAAAUGUAAUAUCUAUCAAAUGGAAUAGGUCAAAUGGAAUAUCUGUCAAACAGUAACAGAUACUAAAAAAAUAUUCAAU
Mytilus californianus (California mussel) is the source of this 317-nucleotide long non-coding RNA. RefSeq lists it as uncharacterized. The record is from RefSeq and is a predicted model, not a curated record. Lineage: Eukaryota; Metazoa; Mollusca; Bivalvia; Mytilida; Mytilidae. The transcript has 3 exons.